GCUGUAGUCAGCUCGUGCUGUAAGGUGUUGGGUUAAGUCCCGCAACAAGCGCAACCCUCGUGUUUAGUUGCCACCGUUGAGUUUGGAACCCUGAGCAGACUGCCCGUGAUAAGCCGGAGGAAGGUGAGGAUGACGUCAAGUC
Molecule: ribosomal RNA, 142 nt
Filed under: Prunus dulcis (almond)
Lineage: Eukaryota; Viridiplantae; Streptophyta; Magnoliopsida; Rosales; Rosaceae
Description: rRNA SSU_rRNA_eukarya
Rfam family: Bacterial small subunit ribosomal RNA
Source: RNAcentral